UGGGGAAUCUUGCGCAAUGGGCGAAAGCCUGACGCAGCAACGCCGCGUGUGUGAUGAAGGUCUUCGGAUCGUAAAGCACUGUCGCGAGGGAAGAGAUGCGCGGGGAUAACACCUCCGCGCUAGGACGGUACCUCGAGAGGAAGCACCGGCUAACUCUGUGCCAGCAGCCGCGGUAAUACAGAGGGUGCGAGCGUUGUUCGGAAUCAUUGGGCGUAAAGCGCUUGUAGGCGGCUUGUUAAGUCGCGUGUGAAAUCCCUUGGCUCAACCAAGGAAGUGCGCGCGAAACUGGCGAGCUCGAGUGCCGGAGAGGGUCGCGGAAUUCCCGGUGUAGAGGUGAAAUUCGUAGAUAUCGGGAGGAACACCAGUGGCGAAGGCGGCGACCUGGACGGACACUGACGCUGAGACGCGAAAGCGUGGGGAGCAAACAG
This 428-nucleotide ribosomal RNA is filed under the name uncultured bacterium. RNAcentral's name for it is "bacterial SSU rRNA". It matches the Rfam family "Bacterial small subunit ribosomal RNA", at positions 355 to 775 of the family's 1533-position model. The record is from RNAcentral.